Molecule: microRNA precursor, 139 nt
Filed under: Gossypium arboreum
Lineage: Eukaryota; Viridiplantae; Streptophyta; Magnoliopsida; Malvales; Malvaceae
Description: MIR7502 microRNA precursor family
Rfam family: MIR7502 microRNA precursor family
Source: Rfam by way of RNAcentral
UAUUAAACAUUCAUCUAUAUUGUUAAAAACCGGCAUGACUAACAUAAUAAUCAAACAGUUAUAAGUGACAUGCCACGUGUACCUCAUUCUGACACACACAGAUCAAUUUUUAAUAGUAAAAAUAGAUAAAAUUUUAACA